GAAGGAUUAGUUAAUAUAUAACACCAGAAUGUCAAACUGGAAUAAUCGGUUAGAUAUCCUUCU
This 63-nucleotide transfer RNA is filed under the name Anenteotermes nanus. RNAcentral describes it as "tRNA-Asp". Lineage: Eukaryota; Metazoa; Arthropoda; Insecta; Blattodea; Termitidae. The record is from RNAcentral.